Molecule: small RNA, 67 nt
Filed under: Viridibacillus arenosi FSL R5-213
Lineage: Bacteria; Bacillati; Bacillota; Bacilli; Caryophanales; Caryophanaceae
Description: Bacillaceae-1 RNA
Rfam family: Bacillaceae-1 RNA
Source: Rfam by way of RNAcentral
UUUAAUGGAAGAUAGCCUAAGUUCGCCACGUCCUGUGGCAACGGCUACAUAACCAACUUCCUGUUGG